GUUACCAAUGAGCUAACGCUUGAUCCAGUAACAUCUUGUGAGUGAUGAAGGCUCUUUAGCUGUAAAACUCAUUAUUUUAAAAAUAGGUAGAUUUGUAUAGAAAAAAAGUUCCGACUAAUGUUGUGCCAGCAGUCGCGGUAAUACAGCAGGAACUAGCGUUAUUUAGCAUAAAUGGGCGUAAAGCGUUUGUGGUUGGUAUAAAGUUGUUAGGUGUUAAAUUUCAUGGCGUAACUUUGAAACAGCGCUUAAAACGUUUAUACUAGAGUGCAAUGUAAGACAUUGGAAUUUUACAAGAAGAGGUAAAAUUUUUAGAACUGUAAAAGAACCUCAAAAGCAAAGGCUGUUGUCUAGGUUGUUGACUGACAUUAAGAAACGAAAGUGUGGUUAUCAAACAGGACUAGAUACCCUGGUAGUCUACACCCUAAAUUAUGAGUGUUAACCCUUAGUGUAUUUAAACAUUAGGCGUUUUUGUUAACUUGUUAAGCACUCCGCCUGAAAAGUAUAAUUACAAGAUGGAACUUCAAAGGAAUUGACGGGGAUCAAUUACCAGUGGUGGAGCAUGUUGUUUAAUGCGAUAGUACACGCUAAACCUUACCAGUUUUUGAUGGCGCAUUUUGUGAAGUUUUAAGAAACAAAAAUUUCCGUUUAAUAGUAAGCAUUCUACGCACAAGAAUUGCAUGGCUGUCGUCAGCUCGUGUUGUGAAAUGUUGGAUUAAUUUCUUAAACGAGCGAAACCCCUAUUUUUAAUUGCCACAGUUGAUUCUUUUAACAGGAACUUUAAAAAACUUGUUGGUGGAUAAGCCAAACGAAAGAAGGGAUCACGUCAAGUCCUUAUGAUCUUUAUAAACUGGGCUACAAACGUGCUACAGUGGAAAUUACAAAAAGUAGCGAUAGCCAAAAACUGGAGCAAAUCUUUAAAAAUUUCUAAUGUUCGAAUUGUGUUCUGAAACUCGAGCACAUGAAGUUGGAAUCACAAGUAAUCGUAGAUCAGCAUGCUAUGGUGAAUUUGUACCU
RNAcentral lists this ribosomal RNA (1014 nucleotides) under uncultured eukaryote. RNAcentral's name for it is "partial Bacterial small subunit ribosomal RNA". It matches the Rfam family "Bacterial small subunit ribosomal RNA", at positions 363 to 1375 of the family's 1533-position model. The record is from RNAcentral.